RNAcentral lists this ribosomal RNA (913 nucleotides) under uncultured archaeon. RNAcentral's name for it is "bacterial SSU rRNA". It matches the Rfam family "Archaeal small subunit ribosomal RNA", at positions 1 to 922 of the family's 1478-position model. The record is from RNAcentral.
UUCCGGUUGAUCCUGCCGGACCCCACUGCUAUCGGGAUAGGACUAAGACAUGCUAGUCACAAUAGGAGAGUGCGGCGCACAGCUCAGUAACACGUGGCUAACCUGCCCUUGGGAUAGGGACAACCCCGGGAAACUGGGGCUAAUCCCCAAUAGGUGAAGUGCUCUGGAAUGAGCCUUCGCCCGAAAGGCCAAGCUCCCGAGGAUGGGGCCGCGACCGAUCAGGUAGUUGGUGAGGCAACGGCUCACCAAGCCUUUAACGGUGCGGGCCGUGGGAGCGGGAGCCCGGAGAUGGGCACUGAGACAAGGGCCCAGGCCCUACGGGGCGCAGCAGUCGCGAAAACUUUGCAAUACACGAAAGUGUGACAGGGCUAUCCCGAGUGCCAUCCGCUGAGGAAGGCUUUUACCCAGUGUAGAAAGCUGGGGGAAUAAGGAGAGGGCAAGAUCUGGUGUCAGCCGCCGCGGUAAUACCAGCUCUCCGAGUGGUGGGGAUACUUAUUGGGCCUAAAGCAUCCGUGGCCUGCUGGGCAAGUCCUCCGUUAAAUCCAGCGAUUUAAUCGUUGGGCUGCGGGGGAUACUGUUCGGCUAGGGGGCGAGAGAGGCCGACGGUAGUCCAGGGGUAGGGGUGAAAUCCUAUAAUCCUUGGAGGACCACCAGUGGCGAAGGCGGUCGACUAGAACGUGCCUGACGGUGAGGGACGAAAGCUGGGGGAGCAAACCGGAUUAGAUACCCGGAUAGUCCCAGCUGUAAACGAUGCGGGCUAGGUGUUGGGGUGGCCACGAGCCACUUCAGUGCCGCAGGGAAGCCAUUAAGCCCGCCGCCUGGGGAGUACGGCCGCAAGGCUGAAACUUAAAGGAAUUGGCGGGGGAGCACCACAAGGGGUGAAGCUUGCGGUUCAAUUGGAUUCAACGCCGGA